GCGCAUGCGUGGGAGGCGGGACUAAAAUAAAGCGGGAUGGGUUUCUACUGUGUAACAGCAUGCAAACUUGGGCGGGACAAGACUUCCCCUAUUUUAUCGCCCAGUGGCAUCUUUCUGGAAGGAAACUCCCCCCAGCCAUCUGUAGAGCUGCUGGUGGGGACCUGGAGGUAGAUAUGUCAAAGCUAUGGAGGGAAGGCGAAGCCAGACCCCGAGUUUCCCCAGGAGCCAACAUUUCCCAAGCAGAGACUUAGGCUAAGUCUCCUGCAGCUAUGCUGCCCAAAUCCACAGCCCUGCAAAUCAGACAGAGACAUGUAGGGAAGGACACCUACCUCCCAGCCAAGCAUCGAGGCCACAGGAUCCUAGGCAUACCGGUAGGCUCAGGAGGGCCAAGUCUUGCAGAGGCCACAGGGCAGUGAUGGCAAACCUUCUAGAGCUUUCUGUGAUAGCAGACAGCUGCAGCCUGCGUGCCAGUUUUACCACCACUGCUUUAGGGCAUUUCCAGUUUACACCAAGCAGGGCCCGACCUUCUUCACCCAGGAGAUCCAUGCUGUGAACCCAGCCACCGGUGUAAGGUGACCCAAGUCCCUGGUGGAGUUCGAAUUGUUUACCCGUGACAACACAGAGGCAGAGAGUUCCUUGCAGUCCCAUGUAGAAGAUCUUUUUCCUUCCUUGUGUGGGGAGACUGUUGAAUACGCCCCCCGGCCCUGUGGCAAAUGGGAUAGAUUGUCUCUUUGAGAUGCUCCUAGUCUGAGUGGCUGACUGGGCCAGUAUACUGUUCUUCCGCCACGGCCAGGAGACAGCUGCAUCUGUGUGAUAAGGAGCGGGUGGCCUGUCCGGCUCUUCCACGCCUCUUCGCGAAGGCUUCCAAUCUGUGUCAGCCCAGUGUUGCUGGAAGGAGAGGUUUCAUGCUUUUCAAGGUGAGCGGGAAGUCUGGGACAUCUCCUCCUAAGAAGGGUGCUCUCCUCUCUGAACAAGCCCACAGCGGGAGGACUCUUGGACCCCCAGCACCCCAGCUUGUCAGGGUUACAGGCUGGGUGACCCCGUGACCCUGCCGCUGGGAGCCUGUUCUCUCUGUCUUCCUGGCGAGUCAGGAGCACGGGUCUUGCAGUAAGCUGUGUGGACCAGUGGAAAGACUGGGUGAAAAGCAGGAAGGCAGAACUCAGAGCAAACACCUGCCUGUGUUUAGUUUUCUCAUUUGUAAGAUGAGGACCUGUGUCCUUCCCACCAUGCCAAGUUGUUGAAAGAUUGAAUAAACAUAAAAUCGAUGUUGACUUAUGAACAGAA
This is a long non-coding RNA of Heterocephalus glaber (naked mole-rat), 1284 nucleotides long. RefSeq lists it as uncharacterized. The record is from RefSeq and is a predicted model, not a curated record. Lineage: Eukaryota; Metazoa; Chordata; Mammalia; Rodentia; Bathyergidae.